CCUACGGGUGGCAGCAGUGGGGGAUAUUGCACAAUGGGGGAAACCCUGAUGCAGCGACGCCGCGUGUGGGAAGACGGUCCUCUGGAUUGUAAACCACUGUCCCCAGGGACGAAGAUGACGGUACCUGGGGAGGAAGCUCCGGCUAACUACGUGCCAGCAGCCGCGGUAAUACGUAGGGAGCGAGCGUUGUCCGGAAUUACUGGGUGAAAAGGGAGCGUAGGCGGGACUGCAAGUUGGGGGUCAAAUCUACCGGCUCAACCGGUAGCCGCACUCAAAACUGCAGUUCUUGAGUGAAGUAGAGGCAGGCGGAAUUCCUAGUGUAGCGGUGAAAUGCGGAGAUAUUAGGAGGAACACCAGUGGCGAAGGCGGCCUGCUGGGCUUUUACUGACGCUGAGGCUCGAAAGUGUGGGGAGCAAACAGGAUUAGAUACCCCAGUAGUC
This 440-nucleotide ribosomal RNA is filed under the name uncultured bacterium. RNAcentral's name for it is "partial 16S ribosomal RNA". It matches the Rfam family "Bacterial small subunit ribosomal RNA", at positions 338 to 795 of the family's 1533-position model. The record is from RNAcentral.